Molecule: ribosomal RNA, 443 nt
Filed under: uncultured bacterium
Lineage: Bacteria
Description: partial 16S ribosomal RNA
Rfam family: Bacterial small subunit ribosomal RNA
Source: RNAcentral
CCUACGGGAGGCAGCAGUGGGGAAUAUUGGGCAAUGGGCGCAAGCCUGACCCAGCAACGCCGCGUGAAGGCAGAAGGCUUUCGGGUUGUAAACUUCUUUUCUGAGGGACGACGAAAGUGACGGUACCUCAGGAAUAAGCCACGGCUAACUACGUGCCAGCAGCCGCGGUAAUACGUAGGUGGCAAGCGUUAUCCGGAUGUAUUUGGUGUAAAGGGCGUGUAGGCGGGAAAGCAAGUCAGAUGUGAAAACUCAGGGCUCAACCCUGAGCCUGCAUGUGAAACUGUUUUUCGUGAGUGCUGGAGAGGCAAUCGGAAUUCCGUGUGUAGCGGUGAAAUGCGUAGAUAUACGGAGGAACACCAGUGGCGAAGGCGGAUUGCUGGACAGUAACUGACGCUGAGGCGCGAAAGCGUGGGGAGCAAACAGGAUUAGAUACCCUAGUAGUC